RNAcentral lists this ribosomal RNA (301 nucleotides) under uncultured bacterium. Its description in RNAcentral is "partial 16S ribosomal RNA". It matches the Rfam family "Bacterial small subunit ribosomal RNA", at positions 509 to 808 of the family's 1533-position model. The record is from RNAcentral.
CAGUGCCACGGUAAUACGUAGGUGGCAAGCGUUGUCCGGAAUUAUUGGGCGUAAAGGGCUCGCAGGCGGUUUCUUAAGUCUGAUGUGAAAGCCCCCGGCUCAACCGGGGAGGGUCAUUGGAAACUGGGAAACUUGAGUGCAGAAGAGGAGAGUGGAAUUCCACGUGUAGCGGUGAAAUGCGUAGAGAUGUGGAGGAACACCAGUGGCGAAGGCGACUCUCUGGUCUGUAACUGACGCUGAGGAGCGAAAGCGUGGGGAGCGAACAGGAUUAGAUACCCCUGUAGUCCCUGUCUCUUAUACC